This is a ribosomal RNA of Oscillatoriales cyanobacterium, 117 nucleotides long. Lineage: Bacteria; Bacillati; Cyanobacteriota; Cyanophyceae; Oscillatoriales. The record is from Rfam.
CCUGGUGUCUAUGGCGAUGUGGCUCCACCCUGACCCUUCCCGAACUCAGGUGUGAAACGCAUCUGCGGCAAAGAUAGUUGGACGGCUGCGUCCCGCAAAAAUAGCUCGAUGCCAGGA